This 477-nucleotide ribosomal RNA is filed under the name uncultured bacterium. RNAcentral's name for it is "partial 16S ribosomal RNA". It matches the Rfam family "Bacterial small subunit ribosomal RNA", at positions 28 to 507 of the family's 1533-position model. The record is from RNAcentral.
GAUUAACGCUGGCGGCGUGCAUAACACAUGCAAGUCGAACGAUGAAACUUAACUGAUUUCUUCGGAAUGAUUUUAAGUGGAUUAGUGGCGGACGGGUGAGUAACGCGUGAGUAACCUGCCUUGGAGAAGGGGAUAGCCUUUGGAAACGAAGAAUAAUACCCUAUGAUAUGAUAAUAUCUCAUGAUAUUAUCUUCAAAGAUUUAUCGCUCUAAGAUGGACUUGCGUCUGAUUAGUUAGUUGGUGAGGUAACAGCUCACCAAGGCAGCGAUCAGUAGCCGGCUUGAGAGAGUGUACGGCCACAUUGGGACUGAGACACGGCCCAGACUCCUACGGGAGGCAGCAGUGGGGAAUUUUGCACAAUGGGGGAAACCCUGAUGCAGCGACGCCGCGUGAUUUAGAAGGCCUUCGGGUUGUAAAAAUCUUUUGUAUGGGAAGAAAAUGACAGUACCAUACGAAUAAGGACCGGCUAAUUACGUG